GUAAAUCUUCAGGGCAGGGCGAAAUUCCCUACCGGCGGUAACUUUAUUAUUAUAUACAAGAAGCCCGCGAGCGCUCUUGCAACUUUGUAAGAGGACUAGCAGAUUUGGUGAAAAUCCAAAGCCGACAGUUAAAGUCUGGAUGAAAGAAGAUAGUA
This 155-nucleotide non-coding RNA is filed under the name Allofrancisella guangzhouensis. RNAcentral describes it as "FMN sequence". It matches the Rfam family "FMN riboswitch aptamer (RFN element)". From Rfam's summary of the family: The RFN element is a highly conserved domain that is found frequently in the 5'-untranslated regions of prokaryotic mRNAs that encode for flavin mononucleotide (FMN) biosynthesis and transport proteins. This element is a metabolite-dependent riboswitch that directly binds FMN in the absence of proteins. The record is from RNAcentral. Lineage: Bacteria; Pseudomonadati; Pseudomonadota; Gammaproteobacteria; Thiotrichales; Francisellaceae.